Triticum dicoccoides is the source of this 918-nucleotide long non-coding RNA. RefSeq lists it as uncharacterized. The transcript is spliced from 4 exons. Lineage: Eukaryota; Viridiplantae; Streptophyta; Magnoliopsida; Poales; Poaceae. The record is from RefSeq and is a predicted model, not a curated record.
GCGAAUCACUUAUCUCCCCAAGCAGUGCCCCUGCUCUGUUCUUCGACUUGACCCUCUAAGGAUUGGGCGCAAGGAGGCGAAUCAAUGGCGCCGACGCUCCGCCCCGGGAGCCUCUCUGGCGGACGGCCAUAGAUCACGAGCCGCUGCAGUCGAUCCAUUCUUAGCGAGCCCUGAGAUCGACGGAGGGGGGCGGCGGCCGAUUUAUCGCGGCAGCCAAGCAUACAGGAAUUUGUACAUGUCCCAGGCGAGACGACACAAUCCAAUGAACAUAUGGGACUAGUAACGCCUCCGGCCACAUUGAGGGGCGCAAAUACCUGUGCCUACGGCCCAGAUGUCAACCCAGAUGUACCUGCCGAUGAUUCUGGAAGCGUUAUAGUCGUGUCUGGCUGGAAGAAAAGAUUAUCCCAUGCUGCAACAGGCGAGUGUUUGGUGCAUGUAUUGAGCAUCUGCAGUCCAUUGCCGCCAGAGAGAAUAAGCCCAUGUGUAAGACAAUCUUUGUAACCAGAGAACUACUGGAGUACGAAGUCAAGCUUGAUCAUGGAGCUAAGAAGACCAGGAUUCACGGUGUUGGCUGGCGUAUGUUUAUUGAUGCGUAUGUAGUGCGGCCUGGCGACAUGGUAUAUAUAUGCCUCUCCCUAAGAAAUGGACGGUUUUUUGUGGAUGUCGAGAGGGAUGGCGUGAGGCAGACGCCACUUCCUUAUCUUGGUAUUAUACACGACCAUCACCCACAUCCGUUCAUUCCAUCAUCUGGUAUUAUACAACAUGUGCCCGGCACAUGUGCCCGCAUAUCUUGUACUCGGGAUGUAAUGUUCUCAGUUGUACCCCGUCCAUGCCUCGCUUCUUGUAGCUUGUACAUGGCACCUGGAUGAUCCCUCCUGUACAUUGUACAUGGUAUAGCCAGAUCACUCGUGCGUGGUA